GACCUGCGGCGUGCCUAAACAUGCGAGUCGAACGGUGGAGCAGGAGCUUGCUCUGCCGAACCGUGGCGAACGGCUGAGUAACACGUAGGAAUCAACCCCCAACUCGGGGAUAACUUGGAGAAAUCCUUGAUAAUACCCGAUGUAAAGGAAACUUUAAAGAUUUAUCGGUUGGGGACGAGCCUGCGGCCUAUCAGGUAGUUGGUGGGGUAAUUGCCUACCAAGCCUAUGACGGGUAGCUGGUCUGAGAGGACGAACAGCCAGAAGGGCACUGAGNCACGGGCCCUACUAAUACGGGAGGCAGCAGUAAGGAAUAUUGCGCAAUGGACGAAAGUCUGACGCAGCGACGCCGCGUGAAGGAUGACGGUCUUCGGGAUUGUAAACUUCUGAAAAUAGCACCGGCUAACUACGUGCCAGCCAGCAGCGGUCAUUACGUAGG
This 436-nucleotide ribosomal RNA is filed under the name uncultured bacterium. RNAcentral describes it as "bacterial SSU rRNA". It matches the Rfam family "Bacterial small subunit ribosomal RNA", at positions 36 to 531 of the family's 1533-position model. The record is from RNAcentral.